This 255-nucleotide non-coding RNA is filed under the name Rhizobium sp. The record is from RNAcentral. Lineage: Bacteria; Pseudomonadati; Pseudomonadota; Alphaproteobacteria; Hyphomicrobiales; Rhizobiaceae.
GACGUAACUGGGCGUGACGGUUUCCCGAGGAUGACUCCGAGGGAAUUAAUAGGGAACACGGUGAGGACGACCCCAAGAGGGACCGAGACCGUGGCUGCCCCCGCAACUGUAAGCGGAUUGUCGCUCAUAUCGGGAGUGCCGGCGCGCCGGCAUUUCCUGGGGCCUUCGGGCCCGGCCACUGCGAGCUAUCGCGGGAAGGCUGAUGAGCGGCGGAUAUUCGCGAGCCAGGAGACCUGCCGUCAAUCACGAUCCAAU